RNAcentral lists this ribosomal RNA (505 nucleotides) under uncultured bacterium. Its description in RNAcentral is "bacterial SSU rRNA". It matches the Rfam family "Bacterial small subunit ribosomal RNA", at positions 28 to 523 of the family's 1533-position model. The record is from RNAcentral.
GAUGAACGCUAGCUACAGGCUUAACACAUGCAAGUCGAGGGGCAGCAUUUUUAUAGCAAUAUAAAAGAUGGCGACCGGCGCACGGGUGAGUAACACGUAUCCAACCUGCCGAUAACUCGGGGAUAGCCUUUCGAAAGAAAGAUUAAUAUCCGAUGGUAUAUUAAAACCGCAUGGUUUUUACUAUUAAAGAAUUUCGGUUAUCGAUGGGGAUGCGUUCCAUUAGUUUGUUGGCGGGUAACGGCCCACCAAGACUACGAUGGAUAGGGGUUCUGAGAGGAAGGUCCCCCACAUUGGAACUGAGACACGGUCCAAACUCCUACGGGAGGCAGCAGUGAGGAAUAUUGGUCAAUGGACGAGAGUCUGAACCAGCCAAGUAGCGUGAAGGAUGACUGCCCUAUGGGUUGUAAACUUCUUUUUAAUAUGGGAAUAAAGUAUUCCACGUGUGGAAUUUUGUAUGUACCAUAUGAAUAAGGAUCGGCUAACUCCGUGCCAGCCGCCGCGGUAA